RNAcentral lists this ribosomal RNA (381 nucleotides) under Clostridioides difficile. RNAcentral's name for it is "bacterial LSU rRNA". It matches the Rfam family "Bacterial large subunit ribosomal RNA", at positions 1918 to 2297 of the family's 2925-position model. Lineage: Bacteria; Bacillati; Bacillota; Clostridia; Peptostreptococcales; Peptostreptococcaceae. The record is from RNAcentral.
CCCCAGUAAACGGCGGCCGUAACUAUAACGGUCCUAAGGUAGCGAAAUUCCUUGUCGGGUAAGUUCCGACCCGCACGAAAGGCGUAACGAUUUGGGCACUGUCUCAACAACAGACUCGGUGAAAUUGGAAUUCCGGUGAAGAUGCCGGAUACCUGCGACAGGACGGAAAGACCCCAUGGAGCUUUACUGUAGCUUGACAUUGGGUCUUGGUACUACAUGUACAGGAUAGGUGGGAGGCUUUGAAACCAGGACGACAGUUUUGGCGGAGCCAUCCUUGGGAUACCACCCUUGUAGUACUGGGACUCUAACCAUAGGCCAUGAAUCUGGUCUUGGGACACUGUCAGGUGGGCAGUUUGACUGGGGCGGUCGCCUCCCAAAAGG